This 497-nucleotide ribosomal RNA is filed under the name uncultured bacterium. RNAcentral's name for it is "partial 16S ribosomal RNA". It matches the Rfam family "Bacterial small subunit ribosomal RNA", at positions 28 to 507 of the family's 1533-position model. The record is from RNAcentral.
GAUAAACGCUGGCGGCGUGCCUAAUACAUGCAAGUCGAGCGAACGGACGAGAAGCUUGCUUCUCUGAUGUUAGCGGCGGACGGGUGAGUAACACGUGGAUAACCUACCUAUAAGACUGGGAUAACUUCGGGAAACCGGAGCUAAUACCGGAUAAUAUUUUGAACCGCAUGGUUCAAAAGUGAAAGAUGGUCUUGCUGUCACUUAUAGAUGGAUCCGCGCUGCAUUAGCUAGUUGGUAAGGUAACGGCUUACCAAGGCAACGAUGCAUAGCCGACCUGAGAGGGUGAUCGGCCACACUGGAACUGAGACACGGUCCAGACUCCUACGGGAGGCAGCAGUAGGGAAUCUUCCGCAAUGGGCGAAAGCCUGACGGAGCAACGCCGCGUGAGUGAUGAAGGUCUUCGGAUCGUAAAACUCUGUUAUUAGGGAAGAACAUAUGUGUAAGUAACUGUGCACAUCUUGACGGUACCUAAUCAGAAAGCCACGGCUAACUACGUG